RNAcentral lists this long non-coding RNA (741 nucleotides) under Mus caroli (Ryukyu mouse). Its description in RNAcentral is "lncRNA (MGP_CAROLIEiJ_G0006077.1)". The record is from RNAcentral. Lineage: Eukaryota; Metazoa; Chordata; Mammalia; Rodentia; Muridae.
CACUAUUCCAGCUCCAGGUACUCUGUGUGUACCCCUUUAGGACUGAGACGGCAUUAGAGGUGGCUAAUUUUCAAAAUCAACUCACACCACCAAGGGGUGAUGAUGUCCCAUCCCGAGAAACGUGGAGUCAGCAUGGACUCUGGAGUUUUUCUGGAAGACAGUGGGAUGAGAAGAAAUGUUCACAUUUCGGAAAAUAAUUCUGAGAGGAGAAAGGGUUAAGCAUCUUCUCUUCAGAGCAAAGCAUGAGGCCACCUCAGGGAGGGAGAACGCUAAGCCAUCCUGUUUAUCUCCACAGUCACGGCCAGAGGCAAAAUAACUUUUACACACAUGAUGAGCUUCAAAGGAGGGAAGGAUAAGAGCUGUACAGUGAAGUUGCCAAGGUAACAUCUUGCUGAACAGAAACGGAUGGCAGUCGAGUUUUAUGCUGACGCAGUGGGAGCACGAAACAUAAUCGCUCCCCAUCUUGUCUCUCUGGAAGAUCAGUGGGAGUAUGGAUGUGGAUGCCUGAGAAGAAGACAGAAGCAGGAAGCGAAUCCUUUUCCCAUUUGGAGAGACCCAGUGAGACCUACUCUACUAGCAACACAUGGCAGUCACACCAUUUAAUCUUUCUAUUUGCUAGCGAUGAAUCAAUGAACUAACUCUGAUAGCCGCUGCCCUGAGCUAGCAUCUGGGGAGCUUCAGAUGAGCUAUUUGAUAGCUGAAUUUUUAGACAAGGGGACUUAAAGCAUCUUUUUUUUAAAG